RNAcentral lists this ribosomal RNA (816 nucleotides) under Vatesus sp. ZMUN 10008424. Its description in RNAcentral is "SSU rRNA". It matches the Rfam family "Eukaryotic small subunit ribosomal RNA", at positions 455 to 1225 of the family's 1831-position model. Lineage: Eukaryota; Metazoa; Arthropoda; Insecta; Coleoptera; Staphylinidae. The record is from RNAcentral.
CACGGGGAGGUAGUGACGAAAAAUAACGAUACGGGACUCAUCCGAGGCCCCGUAAUCGGAAUGAGUACACUCUAAAUCCUUUAGCAAGGAUCAAUUGGAGGGCAAGUCUGGUGCCAGCAGCCGCGGUAAUUCCAGCUCCAAUAGCGUAUAUUAAAGUUGUUGCGGUUAAAAAGCUCGUAGUCGAAUUUGUGUCCCGCUCCGCCGGUUCAUCGCUCGCGGUGUCCAACUGGCGUGUCCGCGGGACGUCCUGCCGGUGAGCGAAGCUCGCAAGGGCCUAGCUCAACUGAACGAUCCCGUCGCGGUGCUCUUCACUGAGUGUCGAGGCGGGCCGGCACGUUUACUUUGAACAAAUUAGAGUGCUUAAAGCAGGCUAAAAUAUCGCCUGAAUAUUCUGUGCAUGGAAUAAUGAAAGAGGACCUCGGUUCUAUUUUGUUGGUUUUAAGAACCCCGAGGUAAUGAUUAAUAGGAACGGAUGGGGGCAUUCGUAUUGCGACGUUAGAGGUGAAAUUCUUGGAUCGUAGCAAGACGGACCGAAGCGAAAGCAUUUGCCAAAAACGUUUUCAUUGAUCAAGAACGAAAGUUAGAGGCUCGAAGGCGAUCAGAUACCGCCCUAGUUCUAACCAUAAACGAUGCCAACCAGCGAUCCGUCAACGUUCCUCCGAUGACUUGACGGGCAGUUUCCGGGAAACCAAAGUUUUUGGGUUCCGGGGGAAGUAUGGUUGCAAAGCUGAAACUUAAAGGAAUUGACGGAAGGGCACCACCAGGUGUGGAGCCUGCGGCUUAAUUUGACUCAACACGGGAAAUCUCACCAGGCCA